This 254-nucleotide ribosomal RNA is filed under the name uncultured Pseudomonas sp. RNAcentral's name for it is "partial 16S ribosomal RNA". It matches the Rfam family "Bacterial small subunit ribosomal RNA", at positions 99 to 354 of the family's 1533-position model. The record is from RNAcentral. Lineage: Bacteria; Pseudomonadati; Pseudomonadota; Gammaproteobacteria; Pseudomonadales; Pseudomonadaceae.
CGGACGGGUGAGUAAUGCCUAGGAAUCUGCCUGGUAGUGGGGGACAACGUUUCGAAAGGAACGCUAAUACCGCAUACGUCCUACGGGAGAAAGCAGGGGACCUUCGGGCCUUGCGCUAUCAGAUGAGCCUAGGUCGGAUUAGCUAGUUGGUGAGGUAAUGGCUCACCAAGGCGACGAUCCGUAACUGGUCUGAGAGGAUGAUCAGUCACACUGGAACUGAGACACGGUCCAGACUCCUACGGGAGGCAGCAGAU